RNAcentral lists this ribosomal RNA (253 nucleotides) under uncultured bacterium. Its description in RNAcentral is "partial 16S ribosomal RNA". It matches the Rfam family "Bacterial small subunit ribosomal RNA", at positions 524 to 776 of the family's 1533-position model. The record is from RNAcentral.
UACGUAGGGGGCAGGCGUUGUCCGGAUUUAUUGGGCGUAAAGAGCGUGUAGGCGGCUAGAUAGGUCCGUUGUGAAAACUCGAGGCUCAACCUCGAGACGUCGAUGGAAACCAUCUGGCUAGAGUCCGGAAGAGGAGAGUGGAAUUCCUGGUGUAGCGGUGAAAUGCGCAGAUAUCAGGAAGAACACCCGUGGCGAAGGCGGCUCUCUGGUACGUGACUGACGCUGAGACGCGAAAGCGUGGGGAGCGAACAGG